Molecule: ribosomal RNA, 481 nt
Filed under: uncultured bacterium
Lineage: Bacteria
Description: bacterial SSU rRNA
Rfam family: Bacterial small subunit ribosomal RNA
Source: RNAcentral
GAUGAACGCUAGCGGCAGGCUUAACACAUGCAAGUCGAGGGGUAUAGGUUUUCGGACCUAGAGACCGGCGCACGGGUGCGUAACGCGUAUGCAAUCUACCUUUCACAGAGGGAUAGCCCAGAGAAAUUUGGAUUAAUACCUCAUAGUAUUAUAGAAUGGCAUCAUUUUAUAAUUAAAGUCACAACGGUGAAAGAUGAGCAUGCGUCCCAUUAGCUAGUUGGUAUGGUAACGGCAUACCAAGGCAACGAUGGGUAGGGGUCCUGAGAGGGAGAUCCCCCACACUGGUACUGAGACACGGACCAGACUCCUACGGGAGGCAGCAGUGAGGAAUAUUGGUCAAUGGGCGCAAGCCUGAACCAGCCAUGCCGCGUGCAGGAUGACGGUCCUAUGGAUUGUAAACUGCUUUUGCACAGGAAGAAACAACGCUACGUGUAGCGUCUUGACGGUACUGUGAGAAUAAGGAAUCGGCUAACUCCGUGCC